AAAGGGAGACCUAAUUCGGGUAGGAGACGAAAAAAAAGUAGUCCCUAUCAAGAAUCAAUCCCAAAAGGUCGGAACGAGGUAUGUGGCUUUCAAACUAGGUUCUGGGUUCAUAAAAGACCUGAAUCAGGAACAAGGGCUAUUAGCUCAGGUGGUUAGAGCGCACCCCUGAUAAGGGUGAGGUCCCUGGUUCGAGUCCAGGAUGGCCCACCUGUACAGGUGGCAAAAAGAAAGAAAAGAAGCGAGGAAUCAGCACCUUAUCUUAUUUAUAUAGUAAGAGAGAAUGCUGGCUCUGAGUUCAGAGUCCAGAGGAACCUUGAAAACUGCAUAGAGCUAGGUGAAAAAGCCAAAAAAGAAGACCGCAAG
This 363-nucleotide transfer RNA is filed under the name uncultured Microcystis sp. Its description in RNAcentral is "partial 16S-23S ribosomal RNA intergenic spacer". The stretch from base 134 to 207 matches the Rfam family "tRNA". Lineage: Bacteria; Bacillati; Cyanobacteriota; Cyanophyceae; Chroococcales; Microcystaceae. The record is from RNAcentral.